RNAcentral lists this ribosomal RNA (440 nucleotides) under uncultured bacterium. RNAcentral describes it as "partial 16S ribosomal RNA". It matches the Rfam family "Bacterial small subunit ribosomal RNA", at positions 338 to 795 of the family's 1533-position model. The record is from RNAcentral.
CCUACGGGAGGCAGCAGUGGGGAAUAUUGCACAAUGGGGGAAACCCUGAUGCAGCGACGCCGCGUGAGCGAUGAAGUAUUUCGGUAUGUAAAGCUCUAUCAGCAGGGAAGAAAAUGACGGUACCUGACUAAGAAGCCCCGGCUAACUACGUGCCAGCAGCCGCGGUAAUACGUAGGGGGCAAGCGUUAUCCGGAUUUACUGGGUGUAAAGGGGGCGUAGACGGCGAUGCAAGCCAGAUGUGAAAGCCCGGGGGUCAAACCCGGGACUGCAUUUGGAACUGUAUAGCUGGAGUGUCGGAGAGGCAGGCGGAAUUCGUAGUGUAGCGGUGAAAUGCGUAGAUAUUAGGCGGAACACCAGUGGCGAAGGCGGCCUGCUGGACGAUGACUGACGUUGAGGCUCGAAAGCGUGGGGAGCAAACAGGAUUAGAUACCCCAGUAGUC